AGCUAGUGUCAUAUUUCCAUGUUUUAUACUCACUCAAUAUAUUGAAGAGGUGGAUCCACAGCACAACGGUAAUAAUACAUCAAGUAUGAUAAGUGUACAAGUUUCUUCCAGCGCAGACAUGAUAAAACAUGGCAGGCUUCGGAGUGGAAGGGAUGUGAGGAAAAGAGCGACCCGCAGCUGAAGCGCCUUUCUCCAUGUGUAUUGCUGAGAGCAAGGAUUUGUAAUGGGCACCAGCCCUGCUUUCUCAUCUGCUGGAGUAGACUCCGCCAUGAAGUUUUAACUAUGAUCUGGGCGCAGAGGAUGAAUGAAGAGGACGCCAGGCUGCCAUCCACUCAUACUGCGCCUAAUGCAAGCUGGCAAUUCAAUUAUUUGCAGAGGAAUAUUUUAAGUAAGGUCUUCCAUCCGUGCCACACAGUGUAUUAACCCAGCAGCCCUCACAAGCCUGCCCCAGCACCCACACACCUAUCCAAUUACCGUAGUGUCCAAAUCUAUGAAACCCUGAGCACAGCCACCUAUUUGUCAGAGCUGUGUGCACUAAGUGCAGUGCCAUGUCCAGGUGCGGUUUUUCUACCAUGCGUUUGAUUUCUUUUCUCAUAGUUAAAAUCAGUGCUGUGAAUUUUCCGUGUUGCAUAUACCUAGCAGUAUUCUGGUAAUUAUUAUUUUUGCAGAUAUUUUUCCAAUAUUUUAGUAAUAUUGGAAUGACAUCCCGGAACCGCCAUCUGCCAUGACAAAUAUCAGCGACCUGAGAGCUACCAAAUAUUUUUAUGACUUUGAAGCCGGGGCUGCAGAAAUCCAAUGCUUUCUAUGGAUUUGCUCCUGCAGCCUUGUCAUUGAAACAGCUGUUUAUUUCACUUGGAAAACCAAUAAUUGCACUGAAGACCUGAAUCAUUAUCUAUUUCCAGCAAUUAGUUAAGCUGCUUUCAUAAGUUCAUUUUAAGAAGCGGCUCUGCCUUCAGCUCUCAUGUGCAGAGCACUACAGGAUCUGUUCUCCAUCUCCACUGGAUCUGCGGCGAUCUGCGGCUGUUUUCACUGGAUAUUAGUAAUACCAAAGGAGAAAAGACUGUAUUUCAGAUACUAAAUUUAAUAUUGUUUUAUUACAUUUUAAACAUUUUUAUUUUUAGAAAAUCUGCAGUGUAUUAUAUGUUAUAACAGCAGCACAAUUU
Long non-coding RNA from Bufo gargarizans (Asiatic toad), 1163 nucleotides. RefSeq lists it as uncharacterized. NCBI's taxonomy places the organism in Eukaryota, Metazoa, Chordata, Amphibia, Anura, Bufonidae. The transcript is spliced from 3 exons. The record is from RefSeq and is a predicted model, not a curated record.